AGAGGGGACCGGCUCUGGCACCUGUCCGCAACCCUCAUCCCAUGGGUCCGGCAUCCCCACAUCCCCGGGGGCAUCCUCACACCCCAAAGAGCAUCCUCACAUCCCCAGGGGCAUCCUCACAUCCCCGGGGGCAUCCCCACAUCCCGAGGAGCAUCCUCACACCCCAAAGAGCAUCCCCACAUCCCCAGGGGCAUCCUCACAUCCCCGGGGGCAUCCUCACACCCCCAGGGGCAUCCUCAGACCCCAAAGAGCAUCCUCACACCCCAAAGAGCAUCCCCACAUCCCCAGGGGCAUCCUCACACCCCAAAGAGCAUCCUCACAUCCCCAGGAGCAUCCCCACAUCCCGAGCAGCAUCCUCAGAUUCCGAGCACCAUCCCCACAUCCCGAGGAGCAUCCCAUCCUUUCAGCAUUCCCCAGAUCACUUCCAGCAACCUGUCUCCGGCACCUGUUCCCAACCCUCAUCCCGUGGGUCCGGCAUCCCCACACCCCGAGGGGCAUCCCCAUAUCCCGAGGAGCAUCCUCACAUCCCAAGGAGCAUCCUCACAUCCCAAGGAGCAUCCUCACAUCCCAAGGAGAUCCCCCACAUUCCGAGGAGCAUCCCCACAUCCCCAGGAGCAUCCUCAUAUCCCGAAGAACAUCCCCACAUCCCCAGGAACAUCCCCACAUCUCGAGGAGCAUUCCCAUAUCCCGAGGAGAUCUCUCACACCUCGAGGAGCAUCCCUCACAUCCCGAGGAGCAUCCCAUCCUUUCAGCAUUCCCCGGAUCAUUUCCAGCAUCCUGUCCCCGGCACCUAUCCCCAGCCCCCAUCCCAUGGGUCCAGCAUCCCCACAUCCCGAGCAGCAUCAUCACACCCCAAGGAGCAUCCUCACAUCCCCAGGAGCAUCCCCAUAUCCUGAGGAGCAUCCUCACAUCCCGAGGAGCCAUCCCCACAUCCCAUCCUUUCAGCACUCCCGGAUAAUUUCCAACAUCCCAGCGCCCCGUNNNNNNNNNNNNNNNNNNNNNNNNNNNNNNNNNNNNNNNNNNNNNNNNNN
RNAcentral lists this long non-coding RNA (1031 nucleotides) under Zonotrichia albicollis (white-throated sparrow). Its description in RNAcentral is "lncRNA (ENSZALG00000001973.1)". The record is from RNAcentral. Lineage: Eukaryota; Metazoa; Chordata; Aves; Passeriformes; Passerellidae.